UACGUAGGGUGCAAGCGUUGUCCGGAAUUAUUGGGCGUAAAGAGCUCGUAGGCGGUUUGUCGCGUCGAAUGUGAAAAUCCGGGGCUCAACCCCGGACUUGCAGUGGGUACGGGCAGACUAGAGUGUGGUAGGGGAGACUGGAAUUCCUGGUGUAGCGGUGAAAUGCGCAGAUAUCAGGAGGAACACCGAUGGCGAAGGCAGGUCUCUGGGCCACUACUGACGCUGAGAAGCGAAAGCAUGGGGAGCGAACAGG
This 253-nucleotide ribosomal RNA is filed under the name uncultured bacterium. RNAcentral's name for it is "partial 16S ribosomal RNA". It matches the Rfam family "Bacterial small subunit ribosomal RNA", at positions 524 to 776 of the family's 1533-position model. The record is from RNAcentral.